This 2539-nucleotide long non-coding RNA is filed under the name Homo sapiens (human). RNAcentral describes it as "non-protein coding lnc-AMZ2-5:1". The record is from RNAcentral. Lineage: Eukaryota; Metazoa; Chordata; Mammalia; Primates; Hominidae.
UUUUCAUAAAUGCUUACUUACUGGAGAAGUAGAGUAGUAUUAUCUUGAGCCAAAUAUAAACCUACGUAGGUUGUCCUAAUGAGAGGUGACACCGUGCUGGCAGCCCUCAUAGCCCUCCCUGGCUGUCGGCGCCUCCUCGGCCUUGGCGCCCACUCUGGGCGCGCUUGAGGAGCCCUUCAGCCCGCCACUGUACUGUGGGAGCCCCUUUCUGGGCUGGCCAAGGCUGGAGCCGGCUCCCUCAGCUUGCGGGGGAGGUGUGGAGGGAGAGGCGCAGGCGGGAACCGGGGCUGCGAGCGGUGCUUGCGGGCCAGCGUGAGUUCCCAGUGGGUGUGGGCUCGGUGGGCACGCACUUGGAGCAGCCGGCAGGCCCCGCCGGCCAUGGGCAGUGAGAGGCUUAGCACCUGGGCCAGCAGCUGCUGUGCUCAAUUUCUCGCAGGGCCUUAGCUGCCUUCCCACGGGGCAGCACUUGGGACCUGCAGCCCGCCAUGCCUGAGCCUCCCCUGCCCCCGUGGGCUCCUGUGUGGCCUGAGCCUCCCUGACGAGCACCGCCCCCUGCCCCACGGCGCCCAGUCCCAUCGACCACCCUAGGGCUGAGAAGUGCGGGCACAGGGCGCGGGACUGGCAGGCAGCUCCACCUGCGGCCCCAGUGCGGGAUCCACUGGGUGAAGCCAGCUGGGCUCCUGACUCUGGUGGGGGACUUGAAGAACCUUUAUGUCUAUCUAAGGGAUUGUAAAUACACCAAUCGGCACUCUGUAUCUAGCUCAAGGUUUAUAAAUGCACCAAUCAGCACCCUGUGUGUAGCUCAGGGUUUGUGAAUGCACCAAUCGACAAUCUGUAUCUAGCUAAUCUAGUGGGGAGGUGGAGAACCUUUGUGUUUAGCUCAGGGAUUGUAAAGGCACCAGUCAGCGCCCUGUCAAAAGAGACCACUCGGCUCUCUGUAAAAUGGACCAAUCAGCAGGAUUUUGAGUGGGGCCUGAUAAGAAUAAAAGCAGGCUGCCCCAGCCAGCAGUGGCAACCCAUUCAGGUCCCAUUCCACAUUGUGGAAGCUUUGUUCUUUCGCUCUUUGUGGUGAAUUUUGCUGCUGCUCACUCUUUGGGUCCACACUGCCUUUACGAGCUGUAAUACUCACCGCGACGGUCUGCAGCUUCACUCCUAAAGCCAGCGAGACCACGAACCAACCAGGAGGAACAAACAACUCCAGACACGUCGCCUUAAGAGCGGUAACACUCACCUGGAAGGUCAAGGUCUGCAGCUUCACUCCUGAAGCCAGCGAGACCACGAACCCACCAGAAGGAAGAAACUCCAAACACAUCCGAGCACCAGAAGGAACAAACUCCGGACACGCCGCCUUUAAGAACUGUGACACUCAGCGCGAGGGUCUGCGGCUUCAUUCUUGAAGUUAGUGAGACCAGGAACCCACCAAUGCUGGACACUAACAUAAACUGGAAAAAGUUCUAGAGGCCAGAAGUCUAAACUCCUUACUGCUCAGUUGUGCACUGGCUGCGGGCUCCAGGGGAGAAUCUGUUCCUGGUCUCUUCCAGCUUCUGGUGGCCAGCCGCAUUCCUUGGCUCGUGGCUGCAUCGCUCCAGUCUUCAAGGUCAGCAUCUUCAAAUCUCUCUCUGCUCCAUCUUCACACGGCCUUCUCCUCGGUGUGUCUGAUAUCCCUCUGUCUCCCUCUUACAGAGAUACCUGCAUUGGCCAGAUGCAGUGGCUCACACCUGUAAUCCCAGUGCUUUGGGAGGCUGAGGUGGGAGGAUCACUUGGGGCCAGGAAUUGAAGAUUAUGCUGGGCAACAUAGUAAGACCCCGUCUCUACAAAAUAAACAGAAAAGAACUGUAUUUAGGGCCCACCCAUGUAAUCCAGGAUAAUCUCCUUCCAUGUCAAGACCCUUACUUAAUCACAUCUGCAAAGACCCUUGUAUUCACAGGUUCUGGGGAUCAGGGUGUGGAUAUAUUUUGGGGAGGGAGACAUUUCCAGCCUGUCACACCCAGCUGCGGGGGACAUGUUCAAGUUGGCUGUCCUUUUUGCCUCCACUGCCCGUUUGCUGUGGAGUUGUGCCCUUGUCUCCUUCAAGCUCCCCUAGCCGCCCACACAUCAUCUUUCCUGCCCGAGCUCAGCUCCCCAUCCUGAGACUUCCUAUUUCUGCCCACAGCCACAUCAUUUUCUCCACCAUCCUCCUCAGAACUAUCUUUGACCCCUGGUGCUCCUACCCUUUCCUGAUGCCACUCCACCUACGCCUUACAUCAGUCACCAAAUCUCAGCAUCACAGUCUGACCAAAAGGGAAACUUCUCAUCUGACUCCUCUGAUGCACAGAGAUGGAGCUGAGCCCUAGAGAUAGGGAGUGACUUGCUGGGGUCACAUGGUGAUUUCAUGGCGAGACUGGACCACAGCCCAGGCCCCUGGGAUCCACUCCUACCCUGACUGCCCAUCGGCAAAAUGCUUCCUGAGGACAAGGCUCUCUCCAUCCUUCUGUCCCUUCCUGAGCCCUGCCCUUGCCUCCCCUCCUUGGGAGGCUGCGGAAGCCUCGUGGGCCUUCUC